This 419-nucleotide ribosomal RNA is filed under the name bacterium. RNAcentral describes it as "partial 16S ribosomal RNA". It matches the Rfam family "Bacterial small subunit ribosomal RNA", at positions 355 to 776 of the family's 1533-position model. The record is from RNAcentral.
UGGGGGAUAUUGCACAAUGGGCGAAAGCCUGAUGCAGCGACGCCGCGUGGGGGAUGAAGGCCUUCGGGUUGUAAACUUCUUUUGCUCUGAACAAGGCGCACCAUGGGGUGUGUUGAGUGUAGGGGUUGAUUAGCGCCGGCUAACUACGUGCCAGCAGCCGCGGUAAUACGUAGGGCGCGAGCGUUGUCCGGAAUUAUUGGGCGUAAAGGGCUUGUAGGUGGCUGGUUGCGUCUGUCGUGAAAGCUCAUGGCUUAACUGUGGGUUUGCGGUGGGUACGGGCUGGCGUGAGUGCAGGAGGGGAGGCUGGAAUUCCUGGUGUAGCGGUGGAAUGCGCAGAUAUCAGGAGGAAUAACGGUGGCGAAGGCGGGUCUCUGGGCUGUUACUGACACUGAGGAGCGAAAGCAUGGGGAGCGAACAGG